RNAcentral lists this ribosomal RNA (279 nucleotides) under uncultured bacterium. Its description in RNAcentral is "partial 16S ribosomal RNA". It matches the Rfam family "Bacterial small subunit ribosomal RNA", at positions 506 to 784 of the family's 1533-position model. The record is from RNAcentral.
UGCCAGCCGCCGCGGUAAUACAGAGGGUGCAAGCGUUGUUCGGAAUUAUUGGGCGUAAAGCGCGUGUAGGCGGUUCGUUAAGUCUGAUGUGAAAGCCCGGGGCUCAACCCCGGAAGUGCCUUCGAUACUGUUAGUCUUGAGGUCGAGAGAGGUGAGUGGAAUUCCGAGUGUAGAGGUGAAAUUCGUAGAUAUUCGGAGGAACACCAGUGGCGAAGGCGGCUCACUGGCUCGAUGCUGACGCUGAGGUACGAAAGUGUGGGGAGCAAACAGGAUUAGAUA